Molecule: ribosomal RNA, 253 nt
Filed under: uncultured bacterium
Lineage: Bacteria
Description: partial 16S ribosomal RNA
Rfam family: Bacterial small subunit ribosomal RNA
Source: RNAcentral
GACGGGGGAUGCAAGCGUUAUCCGGAAUCAUUGGGCGUAAAGCGCCUGCAGGCUGUCCGGCAAGUCCGAGGUCAAAUGCCACGGCCCAACCCUGGAAGGGCAACGGAAACUGCCGGACUAGAGGGUGGUAGGGGUGGAGGGAACUCCUAGUGUAGCGGUAAAAUGCGUAGAUAUUAGGAAGAACACCGGCGGCGAAGGCGCUCCACCAGACCAUUACUGACGCUCAGAGGCGAAAGCUAGGGGAGCGAGAGGG